CGGCGGCACCGCGCUCCAUGUCGAUUGGCUGCCGCCGUGGCCACGCGGAAUCCCCAAUUGGCCCGGCGGUCAGCGUUGAAGGGCCGCCCUGCGCCCAUUCGCCCGCUGGUUUCAAGGCCCGGGUUGGCUGGGCGGGCAGCGAAAUGAGGCGCGCGGAUUGGUCGGAGGGAGGGAGGUUGGGGUGGGGCAGGCGAGAGCCGGCCGCUGAUUGGAUUGGCCUGGUAAAGGCCUAGAGCGCAGACCGGCUGAGCGCUGGGAGGAGGGUGGACCAAAGACGAGACUCCGGGUCCGCGUGAUUGGCUGGGACACUAGACGUUGAUAGGAUAGGGCGCCCGGGAGAACUGGGGAGAGGAGUUCGGGGUCGGGACCGCGGAAAGGCGGGAGGCGCCCCGCCGCUUCAGGAGCCUGGCGCGGGGCACGAUGGGACGCCCCCGAGAAGGGGCGGAGCCGUGUUCGGGCUGCGGUUGGGAAAGUGCCGUCACUCCAAGGGGCGUGUUGAGGAGGGUUUCGCGGGCCCUAGCGGGGGAGGGGGGACUGUUAAAGCCUCGCACCGCGCCCACAGGAAGCUGCUUUCUUGGCCGGGCCUACUUGGUACCAGGCUCUCAGCUGGGAAGGACCUUGAAGACCAUGCGGUUCAACUUCGAAUUCGCAGGUGUGGAAACUGAAGCCCAAAGAGGGGAGAACUGUCCUGUGUGUGUAAAUGAUCUGGAAUCAGUGAAGAUGAAGUAAGAGGAAUCUUUGGAAUUGACCUUUUGUGGACUCCCCGUACUACAAAUGAUCCACAAUUCUGCCUCACUCCAGCCCAGCUUCCUCCUGCCCCCCAGCAGCUUGCUCCACGUGAUAGUACCAGUGAGGGCAAAUGGAUUUUUAAAGUACCUGGAAUAAAAUGCUGGGAAGAGAAUAUGUUUUGCAGCAAAGUUCUAGUCAAACAUAAGAUCCUUGCCAAAACCCAAGUGAAAUGAUUUUUUUUUUUUAGUUGAACUAAGGUUACUGAUGGUGCCGUCUAGUCCCUUUCAAAAGCACUCAACACUAGCCCGCAUUCAGCAAAGGCCAGUGAGGCACCAUGACACAAGUGUUCAGCACACAGACUCCAGAAACUGCCUCUGUUCAUAUCCAGCAGUGCCACUUCUUAGCUUGUGUGACUUACUUUGCUUACAUGUAAAAUGGGGCUAGUAGUUGUACCUACUUCAUACAGGGCUUUUGGGAGAUCUUAAAGUGAGUUAAUACGUGUGAAGUGAUGGGAACACUCCCUGGCAUGUUAUAUAUGCCAUAUAUACAUUGGCUAUUUAUUAAGCAUGCAUUUUGUACUAAGUGAGUGGUUUCUUAGCCUUUGGCCUAGUAGGAAAGAAAGAUUUUAAUUAAUCUCACAAGCAAAUGUAAAGUUGUAAAAGUGACAUGCCAAAGAGUUACCCAGUCAGGGGGCUCAGGGAAAGUUUACCUGAGAAAGGGAAGAGUUACUCAGGUGGAAAAGGGAGGAACGGCAUGUGCAAAGGCCUUGUGAUGGGUGAUGGGAGGGAGCACAGGGAUUAUAAGGAACUGCAAGAGGGCCAAUAGCCCCAAAGCACAGAGAUCAAGGGAUUGAGAUAAGAUUGGAAUGUUGAGUAGCGGAAAGAGCAUAUGAGACUUUGCAUGCCAUGCAUAUGAUUUUGUCUGUGUUCCAAGAGCAGAGGCCGCUACUCAAAGGUCUUAAGAAGAUUGGUGAUUAUAAUGUGGAGAGGGUUGUAAUGUGGAAAGAGGGAAGAGGAGACGCAGGGAGAUCAGUGAGCAGACCAUUGCAGCAUUCUAGGGCACAUGAGUGAGAAGACCCGCUGCCAAGGGAGAAGCAGGCAGGCUGUGACCCGAUGCCCUUUCUUCCUGAGCAAAGCUGAUGGACCCAAGAGGGGUCAAACCUUGGCCUCCUCAGUGCUGAGGAAGAAUGGAGGUGAAUACCACAUCUGGAGAGCUGAGUGCC
Ailuropoda melanoleuca (giant panda) is the source of this 1951-nucleotide long non-coding RNA. RefSeq lists it as uncharacterized. The transcript is spliced from 3 exons. NCBI's taxonomy places the organism in Eukaryota, Metazoa, Chordata, Mammalia, Carnivora, Ursidae. The record is from RefSeq and is a predicted model, not a curated record.